UUGUCCGGAUUUACUGGGUGUAAAGGGUGCGUAGGCGGCUUUGCAAGUCAGAUGUGAAAUCUAUGGGCUCAACCCAUAAACUGCAUUUGAAACUGUAGAGCUUGAGUGAAGUAGAGGCAGGCGGAAUUCCCCGUGUAGCGGUGAAAUGCGUAGAGAUGGGGAGGAACACCAGUGGCGAAGGCGGCCUGCUGGGCUUUAACUGACGCUGAGGCACGAAAGCGUGGGUAGCAAACAGGAUUAGAUACCCUGGUAGUCCACGCUGUAAACGAUGAUUACUAGGUGUGGGGGGUCUGACCCCUUCCGUGCCGGAGUAAACACAAUAAGUAAUCCACCUGGGGAGUACGGCCGCAAAGUUGAAACUCAAAGGAAUUGACGGGGGCACGCACAAACAGUGGAGUAUGUGGUUUAA
RNAcentral lists this ribosomal RNA (409 nucleotides) under uncultured bacterium. Its description in RNAcentral is "bacterial SSU rRNA". It matches the Rfam family "Bacterial small subunit ribosomal RNA", at positions 541 to 949 of the family's 1533-position model. The record is from RNAcentral.